RNAcentral lists this long non-coding RNA (1345 nucleotides) under Sinocyclocheilus anshuiensis. Its description in RNAcentral is "lncRNA (ENSSANG00000024846.1)". The record is from RNAcentral. Lineage: Eukaryota; Metazoa; Chordata; Actinopteri; Cypriniformes; Cyprinidae.
ACAAACGUUGUUGUUGUUUGACCUCUCUGGCCACAGAGGGCGCUGUAUUCAACUUAAGAUAGGACACAACUGUCGUAAACUGAACUGUCGAGAAACUGAACUUCUGCGUAACGUUACUAAAAAAAGGUCUUGCCGCUCUUUUAUACAAGCUGAGUUUUGGUCGCACACAUGACCAAACGGAGAGCAGAGAACAUUUUGCCUCCCGAAAUCCCUCAUAAAAGAUGUUUUCGUUCUCUCUCCGACAACGACAAACCGGUCGGAGGCGUGAACGUGAUCCAAAACGCAAUUCCAUCCUCGUUAUUAACGCUGGCUGGACAACGCUGCAGGAAAAGACCGAGCUAUCGCGAAGAUUCACUGGAUACAGAUAACCUACCGAGAAAGGUGGCUGCAAACAGGGUUAAUUCAGUGCUGGCAGACAGGAACACGUGCCAGUCUAGAACAUUCGAGGAUGGUGCUGGGAGACCUGUCACGCGACGGUCAUCUCGCGCGCUUCAGACGCACUCAAAUAAACAGACAGACGAAGAAAAUAACAUUACUGCAGGAGACAAGGUGAUGCACACAGAUGAGGACCUCUCUCCGUUCAAUUCCUUCCAGUUCUGGCGGGAUCCACUGCCUGAGUUGGAUCUCGCUCUCCUGGAGACUGAACCCUCAACUGGGUCCCACAUAGCUUCUUCCACCAAAGACUUGGAGGCGAUGGAAACAUGAGGAGAUCCUCAAUGCACUGUGACAUUCUUGUUAAGAUGUUGUCUAGGUGUUGCCAAAUUACCUGACUGGAUAUGAUGAGAUGAUUCCCUCUGGUCUGCACUAGAUGAACAUAUAAACAAAGCCUUGUGCUGUGAACAGCAUGAAGGCCUCCAGCAGAAGCUUCCAUUCUGGUAGAAACACGUGGUGGUCACAUGACCUCACAUUCCUGUCCUGCAGAGGUUAAGUGUUCAGAAGUGUGAAAGCAUAUCGGACUAAUCAUGAGUGUAUUUUUUUUAUUUCAGUAUAGCUGUGAAAGCAAGUGUGUCAAGUGUAUGUUCUUUUGCUUGGACUGAACCUGUGUUUGCUUUAUGUUUAUGGUGUUCAGUAGGUAUAAGCCACUUUUAUUCUUUAGGUGUUUCGUUUUUUUUUUUUUCAACUUGUUCUUUUUCUCUGAACAACUUUAUUAUUUUACUACUAUUUUACGGUACUUCUGAUCUUAGUAGAUACAGCAAGUGCUUUGAACGUUCCAGUGGCGUAAUUGCAGUGUUUUUGAAAUUGCUCAACAGCAAUAAAAUGUCUUUUUUUAUACUGAUAUUGGUUUGCAAUAUCCUUGGUGAUCUGUCUUAUUUCAUGAUUCUUACUUUUUAAGAGGUAAAGGACU